Molecule: transfer RNA, 83 nt
Filed under: Aneurinibacillus thermoaerophilus
Lineage: Bacteria; Bacillati; Bacillota; Bacilli; Caryophanales; Paenibacillaceae
Also listed under: 5 other names
Description: tRNA-Leu
Rfam family: tRNA
About the family: Transfer RNA (tRNA) molecules are approximately 80 nucleotides in length. Their secondary structure includes four short double-helical elements and three loops (D, anti-codon, and T loops).
Source: RNAcentral
GCGGGUGUGGCGGAAUUGGCAGACGCACUAGACUUAGGAUCUAGCGCUUCGGCGUGGGGGUUCAAGUCCCUCCACCCGCACCA